UUCCUCUUUGAAGAAGAGGUACGGCCUGCUCACUGAGAUUUGAAGAGCCGCAGUAUUUUGACUGUGCUAAGGUAGCAUAAUAAUUAGUCUUUUAAUUGGGGACUAGAAUGAAUGGCUAAACGAGAGGUUAACUUUUUUGUUUUUGAGUAAACGAAUUUUAUUUUUUAGUGAAAAGGCUAAAAUUAUCUAGGAAGACGAGAAGACCCUAUAGAGUUUGAAGAAAGGAUAAAGAUUAUUAGGUGAAUUAGAAGUAUUAUUAAUAAUAUUCUCUUUCUUUUUGUUGGGGCGACAUAGAAUUAUAAAAAACUUUUUAUAAAAUAAACUAUUACUUUAGAGGAAGUUUGAUCCGUUAAAGCGAUUAAAGGAAAAAAUUACCUUAGGGAUAACAGCGUAAUCUUUUUUAAGAGUUCAUAUCGACAAAAAGGUUUGCGACCUCGAUGUUGGACUAAAAUAAAGACAAGGUGCAGUAGUUUUGUUUUUAGGUCUGUUCGACCUUUAGUUUUUUACAUGAUCUGAGUUCAGACCG
This 526-nucleotide ribosomal RNA is filed under the name Ibla quadrivalvis. Its description in RNAcentral is "partial 16S ribosomal RNA". It matches the Rfam family "Bacterial large subunit ribosomal RNA", at positions 1834 to 2618 of the family's 2925-position model. The record is from RNAcentral. Lineage: Eukaryota; Metazoa; Arthropoda; Thecostraca; Iblomorpha; Iblidae.